CAGUAGCCGCGGUAAUGCGUAGGUGGCAAGCGUUGUCCGGAAUUAUUGGGCGUAAAGGGCUCGCAGGCGGUUUCUUAAGUCAGGGGUGAAAUCCCGAGGCUCAACCUCGGAACUGCCUUUGAUACUGGGGUCCUUGAGUCCGGAAGAGGUGAGUGGAGCUGCGAGUGUAGAGGUGAAAUUCGUAGAUAUUCGCAAGAACACCGGUGGCGAAGGCGGCUCACUGGUCCGGAACUGACGCUGAGGCACGACAGCGUGGGGAGCAAACAGGAUUAGAUACCCCGGUAGUCCCUGUCUCUUAUAC
Molecule: ribosomal RNA, 301 nt
Filed under: uncultured bacterium
Lineage: Bacteria
Description: partial 16S ribosomal RNA
Rfam family: Bacterial small subunit ribosomal RNA
Source: RNAcentral